AAAACUUUCAACAACGGAUCUCUUGGUUCUGGCAUCGAUGAAGAACGCAGCGAAAUGCGAUAAGUAAUGUGAAUUGCAGAAUUCAGUGAAUCAUCGAAUCUUUGAACGCACAUUGCGCUCCCUGGUAUUCCGGGGAGCAUGCCUGUUCGAGCGU
RNAcentral lists this ribosomal RNA (154 nucleotides) under Deltopyxis triangulispora. RNAcentral describes it as "5.8S ribosomal RNA". It matches the Rfam family "5.8S ribosomal RNA". From Rfam's summary of the family: 5.8S ribosomal RNA (5.8S rRNA) is a component of the large subunit of the eukaryotic ribosome. It is transcribed by RNA polymerase I as part of the 45S precursor that also contains 18S and 28S rRNA. Lineage: Eukaryota; Fungi; Ascomycota. The record is from RNAcentral.